GGAUUUUCAGAAAGAGAUUGUUAAGGCAGCUGAAACAUUUACAGCUAUAGGAUACAAGCAUAUAGAAGCAGGAACUAAAUUAUCAGAAGAUUGCUGCAAAUAUGGAGUCGAAAAUCCCAAUGACGAGGUGUUAGCUAAGGCUGCUUCUAUUUACGGCGAUGCUCGUAAACAUGCAGAGAAGGAGGUUGAAGAUCUAAAUAAACUAUUCUUCAGUCAGGUACUGGAACCAUUGAGAGCUAUGGUAGCUGGUUCUCCCUUAGAGGAUGCUCGUCAUCUAGCUCAGCGCUACAGUAAAAUGAGGCAAGAGGCGGAGAUACAGGCAACCGAAGUUUCUAGAAGACAAGCUCGAGUGAGGGAAGCUCCCAUCCCGGAGAAUGUGGCAAAGCUGCACGCAGCAGAAACUAAAAUGCAGGAACUCAAAGCCAACAUGACAGUACUCGGUAAAGAAGCAGCAGCAGCAUUAGCUGCUGUAGAAUCACAGCAGGAGAGGC
This 491-nucleotide unclassified non-coding RNA is filed under the name Hevea brasiliensis (rubber tree). Lineage: Eukaryota; Viridiplantae; Streptophyta; Magnoliopsida; Malpighiales; Euphorbiaceae. The record is from RNAcentral.